AUACGGAGGAUCCAAGCGUUAUCCGGAAUCAUUGGGUUUAAAGGGUCCGUAGGCGGCUUAGCAAGUCAGUGGUGAAAUCUCCCCGCUCAACGGGGAAACGGCCAUUGAUACUACUAGGCUUGAAUUAUUAGGAAGUAACUAGAAUAUGUAGUGUAGCGGUGAAAUGCUUAGAUAUUACAUGGAAUACCAAUUGCGAAGGCAGGUUACUACUAAUAUAUUGACGCUGAUGGACGAAAGCGUGGGGAGCGAACAGGAUUAGAUACCCUGGUAGUCCACGCCGUAAACGAUGGAUACUAGCUGUUGGGCGCAAGUUCAGUGGCUAAGCGAAAGUGAUAAGUAUCCCACCUGGGGAGUACGUUCGCAAGAAUGAA
RNAcentral lists this ribosomal RNA (371 nucleotides) under uncultured bacterium. RNAcentral describes it as "bacterial SSU rRNA". It matches the Rfam family "Bacterial small subunit ribosomal RNA", at positions 523 to 898 of the family's 1533-position model. The record is from RNAcentral.